GCACACAUCACUGAGCAGUGACACGGAGCACUGGUCCUUCACAGAAAAUGGACCCUCUGGAAGGAAGAACACACUUCACAGCGUGCCUGCCACAUCUCAGGCAUCUACACAGUGGCUGCACUAAAACUUCAAAGUUCACCAGAGUCUAAAAUCACACUCUGACUUUUUAGUUCUUCAUUGCUGUUUCAAAAGAGCACACACAUUUGCUCCAACAUGAAAAGAAAGAGAGGUCGUAGUCUUCUUAUGCCAGGGGGAGGCUCCGCUAUGGCCCCCACACAUGACCUCACUUCCUUGGCGACAGGUCCAAACAGAACUUAGAACCCUGUGGGCGCUAGGCACCAUAGGUGAGUGCCAACUGCCUUCGCAGGCACUUAGCUGGAGACGGCAGCAGUGGAAAUGCUGUGUUGCUUUUCCAGGCCUCGAGGCCCCAGCCUCAGGACCCCGCGCAGGGAAACCGUGUGGCAACGAGUAAGAGGAUGGUUCACUCAGCCCAGACGCUUCAGGACACUCACCAGGAAGCGCCCAACGGUCAUGGGCUGCACAGGGCAGGGCUCUGCGGACACAGGCCCCAUGUACCCAGAGACAAAUGGGAGCCCAGGACGGGUGUCCCUACAACUAACGGUCAUCUACACAGAGCCUCCGAGUCCGGUACAGGUCUGUUUGGACCUGGCCAACACUAGUGGAAAUCAUUCGGCCGAGAGCCUGGAGGAGGUCUGCACCUUGAGCAUGGUGCAGGCAGAUGGGCCUCACACUCUGACGGAGCCCCUGGAGCUGGCCUUCCUGGGCAGCUGCCCCAGCCCUGGGCCCUCCCUCCUGGACUCCUCCAGCGCCUCAGACAUUCCCAGCCCGCAGGCCCUGAUGCUGGCAAGGUGAGUUCCUCUCUCAGCAGCCCAGUGGGACGUGGCCACCUAUGGAUUCAAGGCUUGGCAAA
This 931-nucleotide long non-coding RNA is filed under the name Chinchilla lanigera (long-tailed chinchilla). RNAcentral's name for it is "lncRNA (ENSCLAG00000026937.1)". The record is from RNAcentral. Lineage: Eukaryota; Metazoa; Chordata; Mammalia; Rodentia; Chinchillidae.